This 1219-nucleotide long non-coding RNA is filed under the name Homo sapiens (human). Its description in RNAcentral is "testis expressed 41". Lineage: Eukaryota; Metazoa; Chordata; Mammalia; Primates; Hominidae. The record is from RNAcentral.
AGACCUAUGAAGGUCGAAGGGGAAGAAAAGCUGUAUCGAUUGUUGAGAUCUGGCGACUUGUUUAAAUUUCAUCAGCCUCACUUCUAUGAACUCUCAGGGUCCUCGUAAGAACUUCCAUUUUAUGUUCUUGUCUUCUCAUCAGUUUGAGUUGUGUCUUUAACAUUGGAGAGAAAAACAACUUGCAAGAUUUUCUUUCAGUAUGAACCAUUCUGAGGUCCUUCAAUUCUUUAGCUGAUUACCAACUCCUACCACUGUUAACCCUCAUCCAGGAACAAGCUUAUGUCUUUAACAUUCUGAGUGGGCUUCAGCAUCCUUGCAUAUGUUCAAUUCUUAAAAACCUGUUGAAAUAAAAGAUCAGGAGACAUAGGAAGGAUGCCAGAAGAGAGCGUGGCCUCACGUGUACCAGCUCUCUGCUCUCCUUUGCCUUGGGACGUUCCAUCCCUGGAAGUUUCCCUGCCCACAUCUUUGUAGAGAGUCCAUUCUCCAAGCUUCAGUGUGUCAUCUGUGAGGACCGUGACCCACCUGGUACAUCGCCUCAGGGCAUUCAUUUCAGGCUCCUUCUAAAUGGCCAAGUUUUCAAGAUUGUUUUGGCUCUAGCAAAACAAGUUGGAACAUUCACAUCAUCCAAGACAACACCAACAUUUUUGUAAUGGCCUGCAAGGCCUUCCGAGAUCUACCUCCUGCAACUCAGCUUCUCCUGUGCUCUCCUUCUGGACUCACUCUGCCUCAGCAACACUGGUCCCUGUUGCCCCACCAAUAUGCCAGCUGCACUGAUGAGGAAACUGAAACAGAAAAUCCAGAGUAAAUUCCACCAGGCCACACAGCAAGGUCUGAUAGAGCCAGGAGAGACUUUAUGAAAUCCAGACUCUCACACUAAUGCUCUAUCAGCUAGACCUCCAUGUGAGUCUCCCCAAUGUAGGUAGGAAGUGCUUUCCCUAAAAUGCUCAUAAAGCAAAUCAGAGCAAUGCUGCAUUCCAUGUGAUUUCUAAUUUGAAAUGCAAACAAUUGCCAAUUUGUUUGACUUGUAUUUAUAAUUAUUUCCUUGUGAAUUACUCAUCACUAAAUGCUUUAUAAAUAUUUUCUCUUUUUUUCCUCAAUGUCUAUGGAAUGAUCACAGCAUAGAAAAUGUUGGCUUUCAAGGAUUUAUUAAUAUCUCCUUUUGAAAUAACAUGUAUUUGUAAGACAGAAUAAAAUCACUUUAAAGAAACAAAUCUUGAAU